AACGAACGCUGGCAGCAUGCCUAACACAUGCAAGUCGAACGAGACCUUCGGGUCUAGUGGCGCACGGGUGCGUAACGCGUGGGAACCUGCCCUUAGGUUCUGAAUAACUCCCCGAAAUGGGUGCUAAUACCGGAUAAUGUCUUCGGACCAAAGAUUUAUCGCCUUUGGAUGGGGCCGCGUUGGAUUAGCUAGUUGGUAGGGUAAAAGCCUACCAAGGCGACGAUCCAUAGCUGGUCUGAGAGGAUGAUCAGCCACACUGGGACUGAGACACGGCCCAGACUCCUACGGGAGGCAGCAGUGGGGAAUAUUGGACAAUGGGAGAAAGCCUGAUCCAGCAAUGCCGCGUGAGUGAUGAAGGCCUGAGGGUUGUAAAGCUCUUUUACCCGGGAUGAUAAUGACAGUACCGGGAGAAUAAGCUCCGGCUAACUCCGUG
RNAcentral lists this ribosomal RNA (433 nucleotides) under uncultured bacterium. Its description in RNAcentral is "partial 16S ribosomal RNA". It matches the Rfam family "Bacterial small subunit ribosomal RNA", at positions 29 to 507 of the family's 1533-position model. The record is from RNAcentral.